RNAcentral lists this ribosomal RNA (1241 nucleotides) under metagenome. RNAcentral's name for it is "bacterial LSU rRNA". It matches the Rfam family "Bacterial large subunit ribosomal RNA", at positions 1564 to 2815 of the family's 2925-position model. The record is from RNAcentral.
UGAAUACGAGACGCUACGGCGUCGAAGCAGUCUAUGUCAUACUUCCAAGAAAAGCUCGCAAUGUCAUAAACAAAUAAUGCCUGUACCAUAACCGACACAGGUGGGUAGGUAGAGUAUACUAAGGGGCGCGAGAUAACUCUCUCUAAGGAACUCGGCAAAAUGACUCCGUAACUUCGGGAGAAGGAGUGCCUUAUUUAUAAGGUUGCAAUAACAAGAUCCAAGCAACUGUUUAUCAAAAACACAGGUCUCCGCUAAGUCGUAAGACAUGUAUGGGGGCUGACGCCUGCCCAGUGCCAGAAGGUUAAAGAAGUUGGUUAGCAUUCGCGAAGCUGAUAACUGAAGCCCUGGUGAACGGCGGCCGUAACUAUAACGGUCCUAAGGUAGCGAAAUUCCUUGUCGGGUAAGUUCCGACCCGCACGAAAGGCGUAAUGAUUUGGAUACUGUCUCGGAGAGGGGCUCGGUGAAAUAGACUUGUCUGUGAAGAUGCGGACUACCUGCACCUGGACAGAAAGACCCUAUGAAGCUUUACUGUAACUUGAAAUUGAAAUUGGACUUUAUUUGCGCAGCAUAGGUGGGAGGCGUUGAGAGUAUUCUUGCGGGAAUAUUGGAGCCAUCAGUGAGAUACCACUCUUGUAAUGUUAGAUUUCUAACUUUGGAUCAUUAUCUGGUCAAAGAACAGUUUCAGGCGGGCAGUUUGACUGGGGCGGUCGCCUCCCAAAUGGUAACGGAGGCGUACAAAGGUUUCCUCUGAACGGGUAGAAAUCGUAUCUAGAGUGUAAAGGCAUAAGGAAGCUUGGCUGUGAGACCUACAAGUCGAGCAGGGACGAAAGUCGGUCUUAGUGAUCUGACGGUGCUGAGUGGAAAGGCCGUCACUCAACGGAUAAAAGUUACUCUAAGGAUAACAGGCUGAUCUCCCCCAAGAGUUCACAUCGACGGGGAGGUUUGGCACCUCGAUGUCGGCUCAUCGCAUCCUGGGGCGGUAGUACGUCCCGAGGGUUGGGCUGUUCGCCCAUGAAAGCGGUACGCGAGCUGGGUUCAGAACGUCGUGAGACAGUUCGGUCCAUAUCCGGUGUAGGCGUUAGAAUAUUGAGAGGAGCCUUCUUUAGUACGAGAGGACCGAGAAGGACAUACCUCUGGUGUACCAGUUAUCGUGCCAACGGUAAACGCUGGGUAGCUAUGUAUGGAGAGGAUAACCGCUGAAAGCAUCUAAGUGGGAAGCCCACCUCAAGAUAAGUAUUCUC